CAUUAAAUCGUACCCCAAACCGACACAGGUGGUCAGGUAGAGAAUACUCAGGCGCUUGAGAGAACUCGGGUGAAGGAACUAGGCAAAAUGGUGCCGUAACUUCGGGAGAAGGCACGCUGGCGUUAGGUGAAAGGACUAGCUCCUGGAGCUGAAGCCAGUCGCAGAUACCAGCUGGCUGCAACUGUUUAAUAAAAACACAGCACUGUGCAAACACGAAAGUGGACGUAUACGGUGUGACGCCUGCCCGGUGCUGGAAGGUUAAUUGAUGGGGUCAGCCGCAAGGCGAAGCUCUUGAUCGAAGCCCCAGUAAACGGCGGCC
This 319-nucleotide ribosomal RNA is filed under the name Leptospira borgpetersenii serovar Ballum. RNAcentral's name for it is "partial 23S ribosomal RNA". It matches the Rfam family "Bacterial large subunit ribosomal RNA", at positions 1635 to 1935 of the family's 2925-position model. Lineage: Bacteria; Pseudomonadati; Spirochaetota; Leptospiria; Leptospirales; Leptospiraceae. The record is from RNAcentral.